UUCGAAGCAACGCGCAGAACCUUACCAGCCCUUGACAUCCCGGUCGCGGAUCGCAGAGAUGCUUUCCUCAGUUCGGCUGGACCGGUGACAGGUGCUGCAUGGCUGUCGUCAGCUCGUGUCGUGAGAUGUUGGGUUAAGUCCCGCAACGAGCGCAACCCCCGCCUUCAGUUGCCAACGGUUCGGCCGUGCACUCUGGAGGAACUGCCUGUGACAAGCAGGAGGAAGGUGGGGAUGACGUCAAGUCCUCAUGGCCCUUAUGGGCUGGGCUACACACGUGCUACAAUGGCGGUGACAGAGGGAUGCAAUACCGCGAGGUGGAGCAAAUCCCUAAAAGCCGUCUCAGUUCGGAUUGUUCUCUGCAACUCGAGAGCAUGAAGUUGGAAUCGCUAGUAAUCGCGGAUCAGCUCGCCGCGGUGAAUACGUUCCCGGGCCUU
This 434-nucleotide ribosomal RNA is filed under the name uncultured Alphaproteobacteria bacterium. Its description in RNAcentral is "bacterial SSU rRNA". It matches the Rfam family "Bacterial small subunit ribosomal RNA", at positions 950 to 1382 of the family's 1533-position model. Lineage: Bacteria; Pseudomonadati; Pseudomonadota; Alphaproteobacteria. The record is from RNAcentral.